This 207-nucleotide ribosomal RNA is filed under the name uncultured bacterium. RNAcentral's name for it is "partial 16S ribosomal RNA". It matches the Rfam family "Bacterial small subunit ribosomal RNA", at positions 568 to 774 of the family's 1533-position model. The record is from RNAcentral.
UCCGUAGGCGGCCGUGUGUGUCGGGUGUGAAAUCCUGCAGCUUAACUGCAGAACUGCGCUCGAAACUAUACGGCUAGAGUAUUGGAGAGGUGAGUGGAAUUCCUGGUGUAGCGGUGAAAUGCGUAGAUAUCAGGAGGAACACCAACGGCGAAGGCAGCUCACUGGACAAUUACUGACGCUGAGGGACGAAAGCGUGGGGAGCGAAAG